RNAcentral lists this ribosomal RNA (2921 nucleotides) under Staphylococcus aureus F88369. Its description in RNAcentral is "bacterial LSU rRNA". It matches the Rfam family "Bacterial large subunit ribosomal RNA". The record is from RNAcentral. Lineage: Bacteria; Bacillati; Bacillota; Bacilli; Caryophanales; Staphylococcaceae.
UUAAGUUAUUAAGGGCGCACGGUGGAUGCCUUGGCACUAGAAGCCGAUGAAGGACGUUACUAACGACGAUAUGCUUUGGGGAGCUGUAAGUAAGCUUUGAUCCAGAGAUUUCCGAAUGGGGAAACCCAGCAUGAGUUAUGUCAUGUUAUCGAUAUGUGAAUACAUAGCAUAUCAGAAGGCACACCCGGAGAACUGAAACAUCUUAGUACCCGGAGGAAGAGAAAGAAAAUUCGAUUCCCUUAGUAGCGGCGAGCGAAACGGGAAGAGCCCAAACCAACAAGCUUGCUUGUUGGGGUUGUAGGACACUCUGUACGGAGUUACAAAGGACGACAUUAGACGAAUCAUCUGGAAAGAUGAAUCAAAGAAGGUAAUAAUCCUGUAGUCGAAAAUGUUGUCUCUCUUGAGUGGAUCCUGAGUACGACGGAGCACGUGAAAUUCCGUCGGAAUCUGGGAGGACCAUCUCCUAAGGCUAAACACUCUCUAGUGACCGAUAGUGAACCAGUACCGUGAGGGAAAGGUGAAAAGCACCCCGGAAGGAGAGUGAAAUAGAACCUGAAACCGUGUGCUUACAAGUAGUCAGAGCCCGUUAAUGGGUGAUGGCGUGCCUUUUGUAGAAUGAACCGGCGAGUUACGAUUUGAUGCAAGGUUAAGCAGUAAAUGUGGAGCCGUAGCGAAAGCGAGUCUGAAUAGGGCGUUUAGUAUUUGGUCGUAGACCCGAAACCAGGUGAUCUACCCUUGGUCAGGUUGAAGUUCAGGUAACACUGAAUGGAGGACCGAACCGACUUACGUUGAAAAGUGAGCGGAUGAACUGAGGGUAGCGGAGAAAUUCCAAUCGAACCUGGAGAUAGCUGGUUCUCUCCGAAAUAGCUUUAGGGCUAGCCUCAAGUGAUGAUUAUUGGAGGUAGAGCACUGUUUGGACGAGGGGCCCCUCUCGGGUUACCGAAUUCAGACAAACUCCGAAUGCCAAUUAAUUUAACUUGGGAGUCAGAACAUGGGUGAUAAGGUCCGUGUUCGAAAGGGAAACAGCCCAGACCACCAGCUAAGGUCCCAAAAUAUAUGUUAAGUGGAAAAGGAUGUGGCGUUGCCCAGACAACUAGGAUGUUGGCUUAGAAGCAGCCAUCAUUUAAAGAGUGCGUAAUAGCUCACUAGUCGAGUGACACUGCGCCGAAAAUGUACCGGGGCUAAACAUAUUACCGAAGCUGUGGAUUGUCCUUUGGACAAUGGUAGGAGAGCGUUCUAAGGGCGUUGAAGCAUGAUCGUAAGGACAUGUGGAGCGCUUAGAAGUGAGAAUGCCGGUGUGAGUAGCGAAAGACGGGUGAGAAUCCCGUCCACCGAUUGACUAAGGUUUCCAGAGGAAGGCUCGUCCGCUCUGGGUUAGUCGGGUCCUAAGCUGAGGCCGACAGGCGUAGGCGAUGGAUAACAGGUUGAUAUUCCUGUACCACCUAUAAUCGUUUUAAUCGAUGGGGGGACGCAGUAGGAUAGGCGAAGCGUGCGAUUGGAUUGCACGUCUAAGCAGUAAGGCUGAGUAUUAGGCAAAUCCGGUACUCGUUAAGGCUGAGCUGUGAUGGGGAGAAGACAUUGUGUCUUCGAGUCGUUGAUUUCACACUGCCGAGAAAAGCCUCUAGAUAGAAAAUAGGUGCCCGUACCGCAAACCGACACAGGUAGUCAAGAUGAGAAUUCUAAGGUGAGCGAGCGAACUCUCGUUAAGGAACUCGGCAAAAUGACCCCGUAACUUCGGGAGAAGGGGUGCUCUUUAGGGUUAACGCCCAGAAGAGCCGCAGUGAAUAGGCCCAAGCGACUGUUUAUCAAAAACACAGGUCUCUGCUAAACCGUAAGGUGAUGUAUAGGGGCUGACGCCUGCCCGGUGCUGGAAGGUUAAGAGGAGUGGUUAGCUUCUGCGAAGCUACGAAUCGAAGCCCCAGUAAACGGCGGCCGUAACUAUAACGGUCCUAAGGUAGCGAAAUUCCUUGUCGGGUAAGUUCCGACCCGCACGAAAGGCGUAACGAUUUGGGCACUGUCUCAACGAGAGACUCGGUGAAAUCAUAGUACCUGUGAAGAUGCAGGUUACCCGCGACAGGACGGAAAGACCCCGUGGAGCUUUACUGUAGCCUGAUAUUGAAAUUCGGCACAGCUUGUACAGGAUAGGUAGGAGCCUUUGAAACGUGAGCGCUAGCUUACGUGGAGGCGCUGGUGGGAUACUACCCUAGCUGUGUUGGCUUUCUAACCCGCACCACUUAUCGUGGUGGGAGACAGUGUCAGGCGGGCAGUUUGACUGGGGCGGUCGCCUCCUAAAAGGUAACGGAGGCGCUCAAAGGUUCCCUCAGAAUGGUUGGAAAUCAUUCAUAGAGUGUAAAGGCAUAAGGGAGCUUGACUGCGAGACCUACAAGUCGAGCAGGGUCGAAAGACGGACUUAGUGAUCCGGUGGUUCCGCAUGGAAGGGCCAUCGCUCAACGGAUAAAAGCUACCCCGGGGAUAACAGGCUUAUCUCCCCCAAGAGUUCACAUCGACGGGGAGGUUUGGCACCUCGAUGUCGGCUCAUCGCAUCCUGGGGCUGUAGUCGGUCCCAAGGGUUGGGCUGUUCGCCCAUUAAAGCGGUACGCGAGCUGGGUUCAGAACGUCGUGAGACAGUUCGGUCCCUAUCCGUCGUGGGCGUAGGAAAUUUGAGAGGAGCUGUCCUUAGUACGAGAGGACCGGGAUGGACAUACCUCUGGUGUACCAGUUGUCGUGCCAACGGCAUAGCUGGGUAGCUAUGUGUGGACGGGAUAAGUGCUGAAAGCAUCUAAGCAUGAAGCCCCCCUCAAGAUGAGAUUUCCCAACUUCGGUUAUAAGAUCCCUCAAAGAUGAUGAGGUUAAUAGGUUCGAGGUGGAAGCAUGGUGACAUGUGGAGCUGACGAAUACUAAUCGAUCGAAGACUUAAUCAA